Molecule: ribosomal RNA, 627 nt
Filed under: uncultured bacterium
Lineage: Bacteria
Description: bacterial SSU rRNA
Rfam family: Bacterial small subunit ribosomal RNA (bases 1-546)
Source: RNAcentral
CCUACGGGAGGCAGCAGUGGGGAAUUUUGGACAAUGGGCGAAAGCCUGAUCCAGCCAUUCCGCGUGAGUGAAGAAGGCCUUCGGGUUGUAAAGCUCUUUCGCAAGGGAAGAAAACUUAGAUACUAAUAUUAUCUGAGGUUGACGGUACCUUGAUAAGAAGCACCGGCUAACUACGUGCCAGCAGCCGCGGUAAUACGUAGGGUGCGAGCGUUAAUCGGAAUUACUGGGCGUAAAGCGUGCGCAGGCGGUUUUUGUAAGUCAGAUGUGAAAUCCCCGAGCUCAACUUGGGAACUGCGUUUGAAACUACAAGACUAGAAUAUGUCAGAGGGGGGUAGAAUUCCACGUGUAGCAGUGAAAUGCGUAGAGAUGUGGAGGAAUACCAAUGGCGAAGGCAGCCCCCUGGGAUAAUAUUGACGCUCAUGCACGAAAGCGUGGGGAGCAAACAGGAUUAGAUACCCUGGUAGUCCACGCCCUAAACGAUGUCUACUAGUUGUUGGUGGAGUAAAAUCCAUGAGUAACCGCAGCUAACGCGUGAAGUAGACCGCCUGGGGGAGGUACGGUCGCGAGAGUAAACGUACUAAUAGAGUAGACGNGNGAGAGAGCGACGGACGACGACGAGGGAGGAGG